UGCGUGAGCACCAGAGCUCAGAAUGCCCAUAUGGUGUGAGUCUUUAUAAAUACAUAUGCACAUAUGUACAUCAAUGUGUGCUUAUAUACAAACAUUAGGUUCGAAUGAAUCAGCUGUUCAAUGCGUAUUAAUCAUAUGGUUAUAUGACAUGCCCUCGACAGUGUGUGUGUAUCUACAUGGCUGUGUAUGGACGUAUGCAUGUAUUCAAUCAUGAAGGCAGUAAUGGGGAAAUAUAUGUAUAUAAAUACAUCCAAUAUGAUAAAAUUGUAAAUGCAUUUGAAUGUCUUCGACUCAAAACAUCUUAUGUUAUAAAAUUAAAGACUUUUAGAAACAUAAAUCUAUAAUGAGGAUAUUGCGCACAAUAAAUUUUCGAAUCGAUUUUUUCGACCUGAAGCGGAGCUUAACGAUCAUUAAAGCGGGACUCUGCUACCAGCAUGACGGCAUUCAAUGCUCUUCCG
Molecule: long non-coding RNA, 458 nt
Organism: Drosophila mojavensis
Lineage: Eukaryota; Metazoa; Arthropoda; Insecta; Diptera; Drosophilidae
Exons: 2
Source: RefSeq, a predicted model, not a curated record